GUAGCAUUGCCUUCUCUCGUCUCAUUCAUCUAUUGACAUUACAAACAAGCAUGCACUAAGAUCAGUUAAUUUGUGCUCAACUGUUUUAAUAGUGAUAUUGUUUGAUGAAUUUAUUUAAAUCAUGAGAGCUGUUUCGGUUUAAGCAAAGACGUUGUUUUAUGUUUCAUAUGUUUAGAGUAAUUUGUGUGUUAGGUCAUCUUCAUUUAAUUAAAGGUCUCUUAAAGGAGAACCAUCCGGUUGGUUUUUAAUUCCUCUUUCAUAGAUCCAGUUAUUUUAAAGGACUAGCACGACUAUUGUUUCUAUAUUUUGUGGUGAAUUGCCCAGUGCUCUUUUUGUAUUGUGUGUAUUAAUAUUAAUAUGAAUUUUUUUUUUUUUUUUUUUAAGUUGUCCUCCUUCCUGACUUAAUGGCGUCUGCAGGGCCUCCUACAUGGGUGUGACUGGCACUGGUGAGGUGGUGGGGAUUUUUCUGUGGUUUCUGGUGAUCUGUUUUUCCUUUCGAGUGCUGUGACUGCUGUGCUGCAUUGGGGUUUGAAUUUCAAUUAGUGGUUGUAUAUUUUCACACUGAUAGUUGUGCCCUGUUGGAGCCCUGUGGCAUGUCAAAGGUGUUUUGGAUAUUUAUUAUUUUGUGAAAGUUGGUAUCUGUGAAUUGUAAUAAAACUGCUUGUAUGAGCGGUAAAGCUUUCACUACAGUUUGUGGCCAGUUAUUAGCCCUCUCUGAUUUGGUGGGUUACACAUGACCAAUGUCUUGAAAUAAACCAUCUUAAUGUCUUGAUGUGUGGUUGUGACUCCAGGCUGUUAAAAUUAUUAGAGAGAUAAUGCACACCUGAAGUGGUUAUGUGGCCACGACGCUGCAUCUAUUAAUGGAAUGGUCUUUCUCAGUUAUCAAACAAAUUAAGAACUAGUGUCAGUUUAACGGUGAAAGAGAGCGAGGUGAGAUGGAAGCCAC
Molecule: long non-coding RNA, 946 nt
Organism: Cyprinus carpio carpio
Lineage: Eukaryota; Metazoa; Chordata; Actinopteri; Cypriniformes; Cyprinidae
Source: Ensembl